UCCCCCCUCCCCUCUCCCUCGCCUUCCUCGCAGCCGCGCCGGCAGCCGCUCCCUGCGCCGGGUCCCUCCGAUCGAUGCCUCCGCUCCGUGCCGAGGAGGAGUGCGCGCACCGCGGCGGCUCUUGAUUUCGGGCAGAUAAACUUUCAAGUUUGGGAGCGAUGCGGGUCACACGGCAGCUCCUCCUACUCUCCUCCUCCUCCUCCUCCUCCUCCUCCUCCUCCUCCCGUGCCGCGCUGCCGGGGCUGCCGCCGGGGCUGCCCCCAGCUCCGCAGCCCGACCAGCUCCCGCCGCCUCCGAGCCUCCCUCUCCGCGCGCACUUUCCCAGCAGCAGCUUUUCUCCCAGACCCCCCCUCCCCCUUUUUUUUUAAGAGGGGGGGAAGGGGAGGGAAGUCUUCCCCUCCCGCUUUCCCCUCUCUCGCGUUGCAAGUUGCUCGGGAGCCGAGCCGAGCCGAGCCGCCCCCGUCCCGCCCCCGGCGCGCCGGGCCGCGGGACAGAGCCGCGGAGCCGCCCCGGCUCCGUCCGCAAGUUGCUGCUGCUGCUGCUGCUGCUGCUGCUGCUGCCCGCGGCGGCCGCUGCCCGCCCGCGCCGGGGGGCGCCCGGGGGGGCCGCCGGGCCGGCUCCCAUGGCAGGGAGCCGCCGCUAGGAUGUACCCGGCCGUCGCCGAUCACCGCGCCGCGCCGCGCCCGGCCCCGCGUGUGUGCGUGUGUGUGUGCGUGUGUGUGUGUAUGCGGGGGGGGCUCCCCCCGGCUCCCCCCGCGCCGCUUUCCCCUUUUCUUUGCUGUCAUCGCCGCGGGCUGCGCGCCCCGCGCCCCUUUGUGCCCGCGGGGCUCCGCCGCUGCCCCCCGGGGCUGGGCCGGGGCCCCCCUCGCCGGCGCCGCGGGCCAUGGGGCUGGGGGCAGCGGCGAGGAUCAGCGAAAGGGAUUUCCUCCUCAUCCCCCCCGCCCCCCCACCCCGUGUAAUCCAGCCCGAGUCCUUAAAACACACCAACCUCGGCUUCUUUGGGAGGCUCCUCUGUGUAAACUUUCCCCGCUGAGAGCUCGCUCUAUCUCGUGCGCUGUGAUACCGCGUCUCUGGGCUUUCGGUUUAUUCCCCACUUCUGUGUUUGCAGGCAAACCAAAUAAAAUUAAAGACGACAGUUUAGGCCACUCCAGAUAG
Molecule: long non-coding RNA, 1155 nt
Filed under: Apteryx haastii (Great spotted kiwi)
Lineage: Eukaryota; Metazoa; Chordata; Aves; Apterygiformes; Apterygidae
Description: lncRNA (ENSAHAG00000013507.1)
Source: RNAcentral